Non-coding RNA from Equus caballus (horse), 1427 nucleotides. NCBI's taxonomy places the organism in Eukaryota, Metazoa, Chordata, Mammalia, Perissodactyla, Equidae. The record is from RefSeq and is a predicted model, not a curated record.
CAAACCCGCGAAACCCUGGGCUGCCGAAGCCGAGGGCACGAACUCAACCACUCGGCCAUGGGGCCAGCCCUACCACCAAAGGAUUUUAAAGAGGGAGAUAACUUCUGGUAAUGUUUGCCCAUUUUUUGUUCGACCACUUAUAUACUAGAUGUGGAAUGAUAGAUGAAGCAGCGCCUGGUAUACUACAUGACAAACCAAAAGUGGGACCAUAGUUGCUGUCUGAUACAUAUAUUCUCUUUGUGUAAAAUAUUAGGUAUUUUUAAAUUACUCCUCCAGAUUUCCCUGGGAGCUCUCAUUAGGACUUGCCUGAAUUUUUUUUAACAGGACUAAAUUGCAUCUAAAUUUUAAAAAUCUAGACGAAAUAUUCAGGAGGGAUAAUACAAAGAGUCAGGAAUUUGGACUUUGUUGAGAUAUUGAAAGUUUGUAGUUUGUUAACAGGUCGGUCAUAGCCAUUCAUGUUUCCACAAACUGUAGGCAUCUACAAACGGGUUUGACUGCACCAUUUUCUUCAAAGUGGUGUACUAAAAGAUCCUUCAGUUAGUUAGUUAUCUCUGGUUCUCUCUGCUGUGCGCUUAGAGCCGCAUUCCAUUAAGAGCCUGAUAGGCCAUUGCCACUAGUUUUGCCCUUUGGAGUGUCAGCCUAAUUUACACUUCCUUGUUUUCUAGGAAGGAAGUCCUCUUGGCAGGGAUGGGCCCUGGGAUGUCAUAUUUGUUCUGCAAACACCGUUUUCCUGGACAUAGCAGAUGAAGCAACCAGAGUAUGCCAUGGGAUGUGGGACCAAGAGACUGACUGUGUGUCAAUCUCUUACACAUCUGUAAGUUCAGGGCUGAAGGCAGCCAUGUUUCUCCUCAUGUGCACAGAGAAUCGUGGGGAGCCGAUCUGUGGAGAGAGAAGGAAAUGUGCAGAGACUGAAUCCAGACAGCCUUUUAUCUCCUGUUCUCUGGUCUCUGAAACUCCCCAUAUCCCUAUGAGGAAGCCUCCAGGAUUCCUCACUGGAAAACAUCUAUUUUGACCGUGUAUUCAGAAAGCUGCAAAGGAAAGUCAAGUUUACUCAUAUUCACUGAACAUCUGCUACUGGCCUCAACUUUCAAAGAGCAUCUGAUACAGCAGCAGAAGUGUCAAGAGGCAUUGGUUCAAUAGUGAUGGGCUAACAAAAGCCAACCUGACGUAAUUGGCCAAGAACUUUUGUAGCUUGUGAGUCACCUCAGUAGGGAUGGAACAAGAGGAGAAUUAUAGUGAAACAAAAAUGCACUGAUUCAGCUGAAGCUCUCAUGAACAUCGGGAAUUUUCCUUUCUGGCUCACUUAACUUGGUAACUUCCACUGCCGUUGUCCAUUAACACUAUUGAACCAGGGGUUUGUUAAAGUGAGUGCUUACUUGGUUUUCGUAACUCAAAUUCUUUUUUUUUUUUCUUCUCCCCAAAGCUCC